RNAcentral lists this transfer RNA (75 nucleotides) under bioreactor metagenome. RNAcentral describes it as "tRNA-Met". It matches the Rfam family "tRNA". From Rfam's summary of the family: Transfer RNA (tRNA) molecules are approximately 80 nucleotides in length. The record is from RNAcentral.
GUCGGCAUAGCUUAAAGGUAGAGCAGAUGUUUCAUAAACAAUCGUGUGCAGGUUCGAUUCCUGUUGUCGGCACCA